This is a long non-coding RNA of Acinonyx jubatus (cheetah), 6191 nucleotides long. RefSeq lists it as uncharacterized. The transcript is spliced from 5 exons. The record is from RefSeq and is a predicted model, not a curated record. Lineage: Eukaryota; Metazoa; Chordata; Mammalia; Carnivora; Felidae.
GGGGACCUUCUUAUCCGGGCACAAUGGUAAUGUUACCCUGUCCUCGGAGCACAUUUGAUCGGCAAGCAAGAUCGGCUUGUGGAAACCACAAACUACACCCGGGAAGAGGCCGCUGAGCCCUGAAAGCCGGUGGCCCUGAAAAGCCCCCUCCAGCCAGCAGUACCGCAAAGGGAACGAAAAAUCGAGGUCAACUUAAAACCGACAGCGGAGCUCUGGGGAGGUGGGGGGGGGGGGGGGGCGGGGUGCCCAAGCAGGGUUUCUCCAACCUGGAACGUUUCCCAGAAGACAAGCCCGGUAUUUCCCAAGGUAUGCCAUGUUUUAGGAAAUACGGGGUCACAUGACUUCAUAACCUUGAAUCGGUUAAGUGUCCGACUUCAGCUCAGGUCAUGGUCUCGCGGUUCAGGAGUUCGAGCCCCGCAUCAGGCUCUGUGCUGACAGCUCGGAGCCUGGAGCCUGCUUUGGAUUCUGUGUCUCCUCCUCUCUCUGUCCCUCCCAGGUUCAUGCUCUGUCUUUCUCUCAAUAUAAAUAAACGUUAAAAAAUAAAUAAAUACUAGGUAACUGACAUGGUGAAAUUUCUGAGUGCUGUUUGCGGAUGACCAAAGUUUAGGGCACUCUGUCGUAAGCCAUCGUUCCACUCGUGAUUUCUGUCCCCUGCUUUUAGUCAGUUCUGUCACUUGCCGAUUAAAGUGGAAAACUCUCUGUUGCAGGGAGUAAUCCAUCUGGAAAAGGAUUCAGAGGUCUGUAGUGAUCUUGACAAGGUCCUUCCCCUUUCUGGAACCGGGCUGCCCCAUCUUUGAAACGGAUACCGUCUUUCGGAAGUUUUCUCAGAAGCGUGACACGGAGGAGCUCCUUAGCGAGUGGAAAUACGAACGUCGGAAUUUGCUUUGACCAGAAAUUCCAUUCCAUAACACGGCCUGCAGACGCGCUGAUGGCACUUUCGAGCUUCCGUUAUGCUAACCUUUCCCUGGUUGACACUCGCUCGCGAUUCAGAUCCUCGGGAAAAACCAGAGAAGCGGUCCCUAACCCUACGCGGUAGGCAUUCUGGAUCUCCUUCCGGGCGCAGGGAGGAUUCCCUCCCACCCUCUUUCAAGUUGCGUGUGGCCUUGGGACUUGAACUGGCCGAUGAAAGGUGAGCAGAGGUAACAUGGCGGCCUCUGGGAAGGAACGCGGAAGCGCAUUUCUUUCUCCUGUGAUCGUGGGAGCCGGGUCGAGAUGGAGCCUCUGUGGGCCAGUUCCUGAGCGAGCACAGGGUCAAGGCCCGCGUGAGAGAAAAGCCCAUAUGCCUCGUUAACCCCUGAGUUUGCGGGGGCUCUUUGUUCCACAGCAAAACAUAAUUUGACCGGGCUGAUACACCCAGCUUUGCUCCCACACUUGGUCAGGUCUCUGUCUGAUACCAUGAACUUUCCUUCCAGAUCACUUAUCGUGGCGGCAAUCUCUUACUUAUGUGUAUCAAUCUGCGUAAUGUCUGUUUCCCCCACGAGGCCAAAAGUUCCAUGAGGGCCUCAACCAGGUCUGCCUCGCUCACCAUUGUAUCUCUAGCUCCUAUGCUUGGCUCUUGCCAGAUGCUUAAUGACAUUUGUUGAGCGACCGAAUGAACGAGUGAAUGGUUCAGGUGACCAGACAGUAACAUAAAUACAAGCACAUGGGAAACAUUAGGCCCCAAACCAAAAAAAGUACGAUGUUCUCGUAACGAGUGGGUGAUUCAGAUUCAACAGGUUAAAAUCUCUGACUGGCUGGCCAAAAGACGGCUCCUACCCUCUGAGCUAUAUGCCCUGUCUCAAACCGGCUGUGUGACCUCAAGCAAGAGUCUUUCCCUCUCUGGGCCUUGACUUUCUCAAAUGAAGGCAAUCAUUUCUGGGAGCUUCCGUAUGGGGGGUAAGGUUACGUUGAAGUAUGCCUUUAUGUAUUUUUUUAAAGUUCAUUUAUUUUGAGACGGGGGGGGGGGUGGGCAGAGGGAGAGGAGAGAGAGAAUCCCAGUGUAGAGCCUGAUGCGGGGGGGGCUCGAGCCCACAAACCGUGAGAUCAUGACCUGAAUUGAACUCAAGGGUCAGACACUUAACCGACUGAGCCACCCACGCGCCCUGCACUUACGUGUUUUAUAAAUACUCAUUAUAAGACUUAUGCUGGGCAGACAAUUAGAGCACAAUACCAUCCCGGUUGUACUUCUCCAGCAGCUUUGCAUGUGUCUGUCACCAAAGCGGCCUAACGCACCUGAGAUGUCAGUUCCCACUUAGAAACCUCUUUGGGGUGCCUUUCCGCAAUGGCCUACAGUGAGGCCAAGAAAAAAAACAGCACAUUCUCUUAAAGAGUCUACUGGGUGUCUCUUCUCACUUGAAAUGGUGCCUUGUGCAAUCCAGAAAUGAGGCUGGGAGACACGAUUUUUCACCCGUAGGCUCGUGGUGAGGGAGGGGGCUCCCUGGCGUCCAGGGCCCAAGAAACCUCUCCACGCCGCCAUGAAACGAAAGAGGCUCCCGAGAGCAGAACAGAGCUGCUCGCGUAUUACAAAAUCGAUGCCCAUCAGUGCGCAGAGCGGCUACACUGCCUUCCGUGCGGACAAAUGUACCGGAGGGGACACGGUGCAACAAACUCGUCAACCCGGCUUCGCCCCUCGCAGUUUUUACAGCCAUAAUUAAGUUUUGAAUGGAUCCAGGGGAACCUUCACAAAAAACCAAGCUAAAAUGCUAAGGAGCAAUUGUCUCUGGAAAGGAAGGCUCAUCCUGCUUCCCAACUGGGGAUUCUUCCACGGAGGCAUGGCCUCGGGACGCAUGAGCCUUCUGGUUUGCCUCUCUGAAGUCGCCUGGGUCUGUGUCCACUCCUUCCAGCACAUUCCAAAGGAAUCCAAAUCCCCUUCCUGUAAGUCUGGGGCCAGACAGAGCAGUGCCGGUCACCCUGCCUCCUUUCUGACCCUUGCAGGAUGCUGACUCGUAGGCUACGACAAAACCCAAGCAGAGAGUUGCAACUGAUCCCUCCCGAGGUCCUCUUAACUCUCGGUGAGCCUCCGUCACCCCCCCAAGUCAGGGAGGAUUUGCCUCCAGUUCCAGUCUUUGCACAAAGCACCCACUUCAGCCGAAGCUGCAUCCUCUAAGAUGUCAGCCCAGGGGUCAUAAACAAGCGGCAGCCAUCAUCUACCAAAAAACCCAGGAGGCCAAGAAUUGGCAACACGGCAAAGUUGGUUACUGCUUGACAACCUGGUCUAUGUUCUUCCAGGAUGUCAUCUCCUUAGGAAGAAGACACCUGUUAGGCAGAACGGUGGCCCCCAGGGGUACCUGCUCAGAGGUGGAACCAUGUGGUGGGAACCAAGUGAUUGUGGAGACUGAAGAGGGGGAGCCCAUUGUAGAGAUCAGAUUACUGAGGCAGUGAAACAGCUAGCUAGCCGUGAUGAAAGGGAUUCAAGGCCCCUAGGGUCGGAAGCCCUUGAUACUUGUUAAAAUGUAUAAUCCCAGGCCCGGUGCCAACCUACUACAUCAGAAUCUCUAGGGCCGGAAUCCUGGCACUUAUAAUUGUAGCAAUCUGGAAAUGGCGAGUCUGGUCUCUUGCUUUCUCACACACACUCAGCCAGCUUGAUUCUGAUGAUGAGCCAUGAAGUCCAAGAAUCUUCGCAGUAAAACUUAAUUCCUCCCUCCCCACUCUAGGGUUACCUUAAAAGGAGGCAGAUGUGAAAGCUGACGAAGACAGUAUGCUAGCCUGGCUGAACUGAAAUAUGCAAGUUUUCAAAAUCUUUUCUCUCUGCAUGGUAUUUUUCUGGUGAUUGGUGUUGCCGCCGUCAAGAUCCCUUCUCUACUCACUUGGGCAAAACCCACAACGUUUCUGAAGGCUUUCUGGAGGGGUCGGCUCUCGCCAAUCAGGUAUCACCCAUUUUAGGUCAGCCUCAAAGGAAGGAAGGUGCCACUGAGCCCCUGUCCGGGCUCCGCCCAGCCUGUGAAUUCCAAGUUUGCCCUCCUGGUUGUCCAGAGGUGAAGUUCUCCCCUCUCCCUGGCCUCCUUGGAGCUACACUUCCCCUCUUCGUAAAGCAGCUGGGCCCUUCUUGGCAGCUGCUACAGGUUAGUAAAUUACAAGUUUGAGAUUAAAAAAGAAAUGAUGACAGAAUAAAACCUUUAGUCUGGCAAUUUGGAGUCAGACGGCCACAAUGAACACCUGUUGAGAAGGACCAUUAUUCGAGGCUGGAGGUUCUGGGUGAAAAGAUCACUGUGAAUUAAUUUUGAUUGCCUCACAAAACUCUGCAUAACAAAUGAUCUCCGAUGGGGGUGUCCAGGGACUUGCAUUUGAAGGAGGGGGGAUAUUUGGUUUCCAGCAAGGUAAUACGAGCUCUAGCACGAUAUUAAAAUCCACCACUGGCUGCACUCGUCUGUAUGCUUCUGUUGAAACAGAUUGCGCAUGCUAAGGUUACCACGUAUUAUGCUUCUGGGGAAAAAAGAGAAACAAUUGAUAUCAAAAUCUUUUAAAAAGGUUAGUUGAGAAAGCAUGAGGUCAGAGACUCAUGACUCCCAAAUUGUUAAAUCAUUUAUUUACGUCUGUGUCUAUGUAAAUGGAGAUUUGGGUGUGCUCUCGGUGAUUUAAACAGCCUUUAUUUUUUUUAACACACACACACACACACACACACACUCAUAACUUUUUUUUUUUUUGCAAGGGAAGAAUAGAGUAAAAGAUGUGUUAAUAAACGGAUUCACUUGCAGUUAGAUGCCCUUUGUACUUUGUAAUGUCAUCAGAAAUGAGGAAAAGUUAGGCAUUAGAGAUCACGGGGCAUGGUGGGGGGGGGGAUAUACUGAAUAUUAAGUAGUCUCAUUCUUUCCUGAAAAGAAAGAGACUCCAACUAAAAUAUGCCGGCGUCCUACCUGUCUGUCAGCCCCUGAUUAAAUCUAAAAGCAGGCAUCCCAUCUGUUUGCCCAAAUGAAAAGUGUAAUAUUCUACUAACUACUUUGUAUUAUCGUUCAACUUAAGAGUUUCCUGCAAAAUGAUCCUCGGUUCAUUUGAAGUUUAUUUGGCACACAAAAGGAAGCUCUAGAAAGCUUUAUGCUUUUAAGCUAAUAAGCAAUAUACCCAGCUGACUCUGUGGCUGAAUUUUCAACACUGGGCCAUUAAUAUAACAUGAAUUUUCAUAGUCGGAGACUUCCAUUUGUCAUGAGACAUAAACCCUCAAAAUACCCUGAGAGCAGGGGACAACCAGGAAUAUAAGCAAAAUUCUACUACUUUGACCCCCCCCCCCCCCCGUUAGGAUCUUUCUAAUAGUGUAGACGUGUAAAACCGUGUUGGCUUAUGUACCAAUAUUUCCCCCACCAACCGUAUCAUUUUGCUAAAACUAAAAUCUGUUCUUCCAAAUGUGUUGGGGCUUAGCCUCCAGGGCUGGAGCACAGCCCGUUAAUGAGCCCCUUACCCUAAAGCCCCCAAAGAGAGCCACUCUUACAAAGUUUGAAGAUGCCACUGGUCCUUGCCUUUGUUUCUAGUUUAUCAAAAAGAUUUGGGAAGCCUCGCUGUGAGCAAAAGCUACUCCGGUUCUUGCAAAUGCUCUCUCCCCAGGAGCAAACGCUUUUAAAAAGAAUUCCAAUUUCUGCACGAUUUGGGAAGUCUUUGGGGGUUCCUCUGAGAUAUUAGAUAAUUGAAUAUAGCUUUCUCCCAUUGAAAAAAAAAUUCACACAUCCAACGACAGCCCCCAAACUCCCAAGAUCCCUUAGCACACUAGUCAAUUUUAUGACAAAAUUAAUCUGGAACGUGACUUAUGGAGCCCCAGAGGGAAGUCAGUGGGCCCGGUAAAUAUGUAAACAUGGCUUUUUCGGUUUCCGUUUCGCAUGAAUACAAAAUAAACUGCGGCCCUCCACACGCUGGAAAGUUCUUCCUUAAAGUUAAUAAAAUCUGUCAACUUCCAUAAAGGCUGAAAGGAAGGGGGUCCACAGGUGCAGGCGCUCGGGCUGGGGCUCGGGCAGUCGGGGCAGCUAAUAAAAAGCCCUGGGCACUGCGCGCCUCCUUCCCCAUCAAUUCUCAUCAAGCGUUAUUAGAGUCAUCUGCCGCCUCUGAGGUGCGUCCCCCGCGCUCGCCCCGCAGAAGCGACAAAGACAUUUGGCCGCGCUGCAGGUGCGGCUGUGUGUGGCCGCGCGGCCCGAGUGGGGCCGCCUUUGUGGCGCUCGGGUCCUUUGAUCUGGGCCACAAAGGGCCGCAGAGCUGCAGCCCCCCUGCUUUCUGCUGGCGGCACCGCCCGG